CAAUAGCGUAUAUUAAAGUUGUUGCGGUUAAAAGCUCGUAGUUGGAUUUCUGUUAGGGACGACCGGUCCGCACUAUGUGCGUGUAUCUGGCUCGGCCUUGGCAUCCUCCUGGGGAACGGUGCUGCGCUUGAUUGCGUGGUCCGGUAUUCAGGACUUUUACUUUGAGGAAAUUAGAGUGUUUACGGCAGGCAAUCGCCUUGAAUAUAUUAGCAUGGAAUAAUACUAUAGGACCUUGGUUCUAUUUUGUUGGUUUCUAGAACUAAGGUAAUGAUUAAUAGGGAUAAUUGGGGGCAUUCGUAUUAACACGUCAGAGGUGAAAUUCUUGGAUUGUGUUACGACGAACUACUGCGAAAGCAUUUGCCAAGGAUGUUUUCAUUGAUCAAGAACGAAAGUGCGGGGAUCGAAGAUGAUCAGAUACCAU
Molecule: ribosomal RNA, 421 nt
Filed under: uncultured eukaryote
Lineage: Eukaryota
Description: SSU rRNA
Rfam family: Eukaryotic small subunit ribosomal RNA
Source: RNAcentral